AUUGAACGCUGGCGGCAGGCCUAACACAUGCAAGUCGAGCGGUAGCACAGAGAGCUUGCUCUCGGGUGACGAGCGGCGGACGGGUGAGUAAUGUCUGGGAAACUGCCUGAUGGAGGGGGAUAACUACUGGAAACGGUAGCUAAUACCGCAUAACGUCGCAAGACCAAAGUGGGGGACCUUCGGGCCUCAUGCCAUCAGAUGUGCCCAGGUGGGAUUAGCUAGUAGGUGGGGUAACGGCUCACCUAGGCGACGAUCCCUAGCUGGUCUGAGAGGAUGACCAGCCACACUGGAACUGAGACACGGUCCAGACUCCUACGGGAGGCAGCAGUGGGGAAUAUUGCACAAUGGGCGCAAGCCUGAUGCAGCCAUGCCGCGUGUGUGAAGAAGGCCUUCGGGUUGUAAAGCACUUUCAGCGGGGAAGAAGGCGGUGAGGUUAAUAACCUUGUCGAUUGACGUUACCCGCAGAAGAAGCACCGGCUAACUCCGUGCCAGCAGCCGCGGUAAUACGGAGGGUGCAAGCGUUAAUCGGAAUUACUGGGCGUAAAGCGCACGCAGGCGGUCUGUCAAGUCGGAUGUGAAAUCCCCGGGCUCAACCUGGGAACUGCAUUCGAAACUGGCAGGCUAGAGUCUUGUAGAGGGGGGUAGAAUUCCAGGUGUAGCGGUGAAAUGCGUAGAGAUCUGGAGGAAUACCGGUGGCGAAGGCGGCCCCCUGGACAAAGACUGACGCUCAGGUGCGAAAGCGUGGGGAGCAAACAGGAUUAGAUACCCUGGUAGUCCGCGCCGUAAACGAUGUCGAUUUGGAGGUUGUGCCCUUGAGGCGUGGCUUCCGGAGCUAACGCGUUAAAUCGACCGCCUGGGGAGUACGGCCGCAAGGUUAAAACUCAAAUGAAUUGACGGGGGCCCGCACAAGCGGUGGAGCAUGUGGUUUAAUUCGAUGCAACGCGAAGAACCUUACCUGGUCUUGACAUCCACAGAACUUUCCAGAGAUGGAUUGGUGCCUUCGGGAACUGUGAGACAGGUGCUGCAUGGCUGUCGUCAGCUCGUGUUGUGAAAUGUUGGGUUAAGUCCCGCAACGAGCGCAACCCUUAUCCUUUGUUGCCAGAGGUUAGGCCGGGAACUCAAAGGAGACUGCCAGUGAUAAACUGGAGGAAGGUGGGGAUGACGUCAAGUCAUCAUGGCCCUUACGACCAGGGCUACACACGUGCUACAAUGGCAUAUACAAAGAGAAGCGACCUCGCGAGAGCAAGCGGACCUCAUAAAGUAUGUCGUAGUCCGGAUUGGAGUCUGCAACUCGACUCCAUGAAGUCGGAAUCGCUAGUAAUCGUAGAUCAGAAUGCUACGGUGAAUACGUUCCCGGGCCU
This 1361-nucleotide ribosomal RNA is filed under the name uncultured bacterium. RNAcentral describes it as "bacterial SSU rRNA". It matches the Rfam family "Bacterial small subunit ribosomal RNA", at positions 28 to 1381 of the family's 1533-position model. The record is from RNAcentral.